This 253-nucleotide ribosomal RNA is filed under the name uncultured bacterium. RNAcentral's name for it is "partial 16S ribosomal RNA". It matches the Rfam family "Bacterial small subunit ribosomal RNA", at positions 524 to 776 of the family's 1533-position model. The record is from RNAcentral.
UACGAAGGGGGCUAGCGUUGCUCGGAAUUACUGGGCGUAAAGCGCACGUAGGCGGUCUUUUAAGUCGGGGGCGAAAUCCUGGAGCUCAACUCCAGAACUGCCUUCGAUACUGGAAGACUUGAGUCCGGGAGAGGUGAGUGGAACUGCGAGUGUAGAGGUGAAAUUCGUAGAUAUUCGCAAGAACACCAGUGGCGAAGGCGGCUCACUGGCCCGGUACUGACGCUGAGGUGCGAAAGCGUGGGGAGCGAACGGG